CCUACGGGAGGCAGCAGUGGGGAAUAUUGCACAAUGGGCGCAAGCCUGAUGCAGCCAUGCCGCGUGUGUGAAGAAGGCCUUCGGGUUGUAAAGCACUUUCAGCGGGGAGGAAGGCGUUAAGGUUAAUAACCUUGUCGAUUGACGUUACCCGCAGAAGAAGCACCGGCUAACUCCGUGCCAGCAGCCGCGGUAAUACGGAGGGUGCAAGCGUUAAUCGGAAUUACUGGGCGUAAAGCGCACGCAGGCGGUCUGUCAAGUCGGAUGUGAAAUCCCCGGGCUCAACCUGGGAACUGCAUUCGAAACUGGCAGGCUAGAGUCGUGUAGAGGGGGGUAGAAUUCCAGGGGUAGCGGUGAAAUGCGUAGAGAUCUGGAGGAAUACCGGUGGCGAAGGCGGCCCCCUGGACAAAGACUGACGCUCAGGUGCGAAAGCGUGGGGAGCAAACAGGAUUAGAUACCCGAGUAGUC
Molecule: ribosomal RNA, 465 nt
Filed under: uncultured Klebsiella sp.
Lineage: Bacteria; Pseudomonadati; Pseudomonadota; Gammaproteobacteria; Enterobacterales; Enterobacteriaceae
Description: bacterial SSU rRNA
Rfam family: Bacterial small subunit ribosomal RNA
Source: RNAcentral